This is a small nuclear RNA of Monodelphis domestica (gray short-tailed opossum), 85 nucleotides long. Its record names the gene U4. It matches the Rfam family "U4 spliceosomal RNA". Rfam says of the family: U4 small nuclear RNA (U4 snRNA) is a component of the major U2-dependent spliceosome. Lineage: Eukaryota; Metazoa; Chordata; Mammalia; Didelphimorphia; Didelphidae. The record is from Ensembl.
UUCUUUGCACAAUGGCAGUAUCAUAGCCAAUGAAGUUUAACCAAGGUAUGAUUAUUGCUUAUUGAAAACCAAAUAUACAAAGACA